AGGUGAAGUUCCGACCCGCAUGAAAGGUCCAACGACCUGGGCGCUGUCUUGACCGGAGGCUCGGUGAACUCGAGGCACGGGUGAAAACGCCCGUGACCCGCGGUGGGACAGAAAGACCCCGUGGAGCUUUACUGCAACCUGGUGUUGGGUCUUGGCAUCCGUUGUCUAGGAUAGGUGGGAGGCUGAGAAGCCCGGGCGCCAGCCCGGGUGGAGCCGUCCUUGGAAUACCACCCUUCGGCUGCUGAGGCUCUAACCGGAGGCCGUGAAAAGCGGUCUUGGGACAGCGCCAGGCGGGCAGUUUUGCUGGGGCGGCAGCCUCCUAAAGGGUAACGGAGGCGCCCAAAGGUCCCCUCAGGCGGGUUAGCGAUCCGCCGUUGAGUGCAAGGGCAGAAGGGGGCUUGACUGCGAGGCCUACAAGCCGAGCAGGGGCGAAAGCCGGGCCUAGUGACCCACUGGCUCCGUGUGGAAGGGCCAGUGAUCAGCGGAUAAAAGUUACCCCGGGGAUAACAGGCUAGUCUCCCCCGAGAGUCCACAUCGACGGGGAGGAUCGGCACCUCGAUGUCGGCUCACCCCAUCCUGGGGCUGCACCAGGUCCCAAGGGUCGGGCUGUUCGCCCGUUAAAGGGGUUCAUGAGCUGGGUUCAGACCGUCGUGAGACAGGUCGGUCCCUAUCUACCGCGGGCGCAGGAGGCUUGAGGGGGUCCGCUCUCAGUACGAGAGGACCGGAGCGGCUGGGCCGCUGGUGUACCAGUUGUCCCGCCCGGGGCACAGCUGGGUAGCUAAGCCCAGAUCGGAUAAGGGCUGAAGGCAUCUAAGCUCGAAGCCGACCCCAAGAUGAGGCCUCCCCAUCAGGGCCCUCCGAGACC
This 865-nucleotide ribosomal RNA is filed under the name Candidatus Bipolaricaulota bacterium. RNAcentral's name for it is "partial 23S ribosomal RNA". It matches the Rfam family "Bacterial large subunit ribosomal RNA", at positions 1973 to 2846 of the family's 2925-position model. Lineage: Bacteria; Candidatus Bipolaricaulota. The record is from RNAcentral.